RNAcentral lists this ribosomal RNA (311 nucleotides) under uncultured bacterium. Its description in RNAcentral is "bacterial SSU rRNA". It matches the Rfam family "Bacterial small subunit ribosomal RNA", at positions 28 to 334 of the family's 1533-position model. The record is from RNAcentral.
GAUGAACGCUAGCGGCGGGCUUAACACAUGCAAGUCGAGGGGCAGCAUAACUAGUUUACUAGUUGAUGGCGACCGGCGGACGGGUGCGUAACGCGUAUGCAACCUACCUCUAACAGGGAGAUAGCCCAGAGAAAUUUGGAUUAAUACCCCAUAGUAUAUAGAUAUCGCAUGGUAUUUAUAUUAAAGAUUCAUCGGUUAGAGAUGGGCAUGCGUAACAUUAGCUAGUUGGUGAGGUAACGGCUCACCAAGGCUUUGAUGUUUAGGGGGUCUGAGAGGAUGAUCCCCCACACUGGUACUGAGACACGGACCAG